UCCAGCACCCGUGAGGGGCAAAAGGGCUGCUAGCAGGACCGCCACGGCACUUGCCGUGGCGUUCACCGUCUCCAGGUGCUGGAGAGGCAGCUGCCUGCAAGCAACAGCCCGAGUCACAUACCCCACGUGUACGGGGCCAGCUGGGGGCAUUGACGUCACCCGGAGGGGAUUCCCCUUCCCGGGUGACAUCAUCAGAGGGCGCCCGGGCAAAGGGGGCGGGGCCGUGGAAGGCAGGCUCUUCAAAAGAGGUCAGAGAGAGCAGGGAGGGGAGGACGCUCCGGCCAGGGGAAAGGAGCCCUGUAUGGAGGGAGCCGCGGUCAACGACUGGAGAGACGGAGCUGCGGAUCACCGAGAAGGCGAGCUCGGCGAGGAGGAUUCCCCAGAGAGCAGGGAACAAGACUUGCAGGAUCCAUGGGUGAAGGAGGGACUAUAGGGUAGAGUACCAGCAUCAACUGAAGCGCAAUCUGUGAAUGGUUUGGCAGGUCUUUACUAGACCCUCUAAAUCAACCACCAAUGGCCAUGUCUCAGUGUGUCAACCCCCACAGUAAUGUUGAUGUAGCCCGACUCACUAUGUGCCUGAUCCUUCACUACUAAAGUAAACAGGAGCUUUAGCUACCCAAAAAGAAAAGCAGUGACCAUCCCACCCCAGCAGCUAACUUAGCCUGAGAGUACAAACUGUUCAAACUGGAAAGAUGGAAAAUCCACCAUACGCCAUGUGGUUGUGGAAAACCUGCAAGAGAAUAUUCAGGAAGAACAACCUCAUGAGGACUCCUGCUGCAGCAAGACCCCUCCAAAUCUCCCCAAGGCUUAACAGCUACCAUCUGACCUCACAGUCUGAACAGCACUUUGCAGAUUUAAAGUGCUAGAUGAGCAAUGGAUUUAUAAUUCACUAGCGUAACAUGCAUUUUACUUU
Pelodiscus sinensis (Chinese soft-shelled turtle) is the source of this 913-nucleotide non-coding RNA. NCBI's taxonomy places the organism in Eukaryota, Metazoa, Chordata, Testudines, Trionychidae. The record is from RefSeq and is a predicted model, not a curated record.